This 75-nucleotide transfer RNA is filed under the name Streptococcus chenjunshii. Its description in RNAcentral is "tRNA-Arg". It matches the Rfam family "tRNA". Rfam says of the family: Transfer RNA (tRNA) molecules are approximately 80 nucleotides in length. Their secondary structure includes four short double-helical elements and three loops (D, anti-codon, and T loops). Lineage: Bacteria; Bacillati; Bacillota; Bacilli; Lactobacillales; Streptococcaceae. The record is from RNAcentral.
CCAUCUUUAGUGUAAUGGAUAUCACAUAAGAUUCCGGUUCUUAUAAUGGGGGUUCGAUUCCCUCAAGAUGGAUCA